RNAcentral lists this ribosomal RNA (1084 nucleotides) under uncultured Chloroflexota bacterium. RNAcentral describes it as "bacterial SSU rRNA". It matches the Rfam family "Bacterial small subunit ribosomal RNA", at positions 34 to 1159 of the family's 1533-position model. The record is from RNAcentral. Lineage: Bacteria; Bacillati; Chloroflexota.
CGCUGGCGGCGUGCUUAACACAUGCAAGUCGAACGGUCGCAAGACAGUGGCGCACGGGUGAGGAACACGUAGCUUAUCUGCCCCGAAGUGUGGGAUAACGCCCCGAAAGGGGUGCUAAUACCGCAUAAGCUCCCGAUCUACAGAGGGUUGGGAGAAAAGGCGCAAGUCGCUUUGGGAGGAGGCUGCGGCCCAUCAGGUAGUUGGUGCGGUAACGGCGCACCAAGCCAACGACGGGUAGGGGACCUGAGAGGGUGACCCCCCACACUGGGACUGAGACACGGCCCAGACUCCUACGGGAGGCAGCAGUGAGGAAUAUUGCCCAAUGGGCGCAAGCCUGAGGCAGCGACGCCGCGUGGGUGAAGAAGGCCUUCGGGUCGUAAAGCCCUUUUCUGCGUGACGAGACAAAGGACGGUAGCGCAGGAAAAAGUCUCGGCUAACUACGUGCCAGCAGCCGCGGUAAAACGUAGGAGGCAAGCGUUAUCCGGAGUUACUGGGCGUAAAGAGUGCGUAGGCGGAUCUGUAAGUGGGUGGUGAAAGCGCCCGGCUAAACCGGGCGAGGUCCAUUCAGACUGCAGGUCUAGAGGCGGAUAGAGGGGUGCGGAAUUCCGGGUGUAGCGGUGAAAUGUGUAGAGAUCCGGAGGAACACCAGUGGUGCAAACGGCGCCCUGGGUCCGAACUGACGCUGAAGCACGAAAGCGUGGGGAGCGAACGGGAUUAGAGACCCCGGUAGUCCACGCCGUAAACGAUGUCAACUAGGUGUCCACUUGGCUACGGUCAAGGGGGUGCCGACGCUAACGCAAUAAGUUGACCGCCUGGGGAGUACGGUCGCAAGGCUAAAACUCAAAGGAAUUGGACGGGGGCCCGCACAAGCAGCGGAGCGUGUGGUUUAAUUCGAGGCUACACGAAGAACCUUACCUGGGUUUGACAUAACGGUGGUAGGGAACCGAAAGGGGACCGACCUUCGGGAGCCGUUACAGGUGCUGCAUGNCUGUCGUCAGCUCGUGUCGUGAGAUGUUCGGUUAAGUCCGAAAACGAGCGCAACCCUCGGGUCUAGUUACACGUGUCUAGACCGACUGGCCGUGAG